This 253-nucleotide ribosomal RNA is filed under the name uncultured bacterium. Its description in RNAcentral is "partial 16S ribosomal RNA". It matches the Rfam family "Bacterial small subunit ribosomal RNA", at positions 524 to 776 of the family's 1533-position model. The record is from RNAcentral.
UACGUAGGAGGCAAGCGUUGUCCGGAAUUACUGGGCGUAAAGCGCGUGUAGGUGGUGGGACAAGUCUGCUGUGAAAGCGCCUGGCUUAACCGGGCGAGGUCGGCGGAAACUGUCCGACUCGAGGACGGUAGAGGGGGGUGGAAUUCCCGGUGUAGUGGUGAAAUGCGUAGAUAUCGGGAGGAACACCUGUGGCGAAAGCGGCGCACUGGACCACAACUGACGCUGAGGCGCGAAAGCUAGGGGAGCAAACAGG